Molecule: ribosomal RNA, 274 nt
Filed under: uncultured bacterium
Lineage: Bacteria
Description: partial 16S ribosomal RNA
Rfam family: Bacterial small subunit ribosomal RNA
Source: RNAcentral
AUACGGAGGGUGCAAGCGUUACUCGGAAUCACUGGGCGUAAAGCGCGCGCAGGCGGCUUGAUAAGUUGGAUGUGAAAGCCUACGGCUCAACCGUAGAACUGCAUCCAAAACUGUCAGGCUAGAGUGUGGGAGAGGAAGGUGGAAUUAGUUGUGUAGGGGUAAAAUCCGUAGAGAUAACUAGGAAUACCAAAAGCGAAGGCAAUCUUCUGGAACAGUACUGACGCUGAGGCGCGAAAGCGUGGGGAGCAAACAGGAUUAGAAACCCUUGUAGUCC